Molecule: unclassified non-coding RNA, 253 nt
Filed under: uncultured Frankiales bacterium
Lineage: Bacteria; Bacillati; Actinomycetota; Actinomycetes; Frankiales
Description: contains 16S-23S intergenic spacer region
Rfam family: Bacterial small subunit ribosomal RNA
Source: RNAcentral
UACGUAGGGUGCAAGCGUUGUCCGGAAUUAUUGGGCGUAAAGAGCUCGUAGGCGGUUUGUCGCGUGGGGUGUGAAAACCCAAGGCUUAACCUUGGGCCUGCAUUCGAUACGGGCAGACUAGAGUUCGGUAGGGGAGACUGGAAUUCCUGGUGUAGCGGUGAAAUGCGCAGAUAUCAGGAGGAACACCGGUGGCGAAGGCGGGUCUCUGGGCCGAUACUGACGCUGAGGAGCGAAAGCGUGGGGAGCGAACAGG